GGAGUUGGCCAGGCGGCCGCGGCGGCUUCGUGCCGUCGAGGAAAGUCCGGACUCCGCAGGGCAGGACGCUGGGUAACACCCAGGCGCGGUGACGCGUGGAAAGUGCAACAGAAAGCAGACCGCCAGGGGCCGACCUCGAGUCGGUACCGGUGAGGGUGAAACGGUGCGGUAAGAGCGCACCGGCGCCGGC
Molecule: RNase P RNA, 190 nt
Filed under: Nitriliruptorales bacterium
Lineage: Bacteria; Bacillati; Actinomycetota; Nitriliruptoria; Nitriliruptorales
Description: Bacterial RNase P class A
Rfam family: Bacterial RNase P class A
About the family: Ribonuclease P (RNase P) is a ubiquitous endoribonuclease, found in archaea, bacteria and eukarya as well as chloroplasts and mitochondria. Its best characterised activity is the generation of mature 5'-ends of tRNAs by cleaving the 5'-leader elements of precursor-tRNAs.
Source: Rfam by way of RNAcentral